GACAGCAGCAGCGCGGUAAUACAGAGGGUGCAAGCGUUAAUCGGAAUUACUGGGCGUAAAGCGCGCGUAGGUGGUUUGUUAAGUUGGAUGUGAAAUCCCCGGGCUCAACCUGGGAACUGCAUCCAAAACUGGCAAGCUAGAGUAUGGUAGAGGGUGGUGGAAUUUCCUGUGUAGCGGUGAAAUGCGUAGAUAUAGGAAGGAACACCAGUGGCGAAGGCGACCACCUGGACUGAUACUGACACUGAGGUGCGAAAGCGUGGGGAGCGAACAGGAUUAGAGACCCCCGUAGUCCCUGUCUCUUAUACA
Molecule: ribosomal RNA, 306 nt
Filed under: uncultured bacterium
Lineage: Bacteria
Description: partial 16S ribosomal RNA
Rfam family: Bacterial small subunit ribosomal RNA
Source: RNAcentral